AUUGAACGCUGGCGGCAUGCUUUACACAUGCAAGUCGAACGGUAACAGGCCGCAAGGUGCUGACGAGUGGCGAACGGGUGAGUAAUGCAUCGGAACGUGCCCAGUCGUGGGGGAUAACGCAGCGAAAGCUGUGCUAAUACCGCAUACGAUCUAUGGAUGAAAGCGGGGGACCGUAAGGCCUCGCGCGAUUGGAGCGGCCGAUGUCAGAUUAGGUAGUUGGUGGGGUAAAGGCCCACCAAGCCGACGAUCUGUAGCUGGUCUGAGAGGACGACCAGCCACACUGGGACUGAGACACGGCCCAGACUCCUACGGGAGGCAGCAGUGGGGAAUUUUGGACAAUGGGCGCAAGCCUGAUCCAGCAAUGCCGCGUUCAGGGAGAAGGCCUUCGGGUUGUAAACUGCUUUUGUACGGAACGAAACGGUCUGGGUUAAUACCCUGGGCUAAUGACGGUACCGUAAGAAUAAGCACCGGCUAACUACGUGCCAGCAGCCGCGGUAA
RNAcentral lists this ribosomal RNA (498 nucleotides) under uncultured bacterium. Its description in RNAcentral is "partial 16S ribosomal RNA". It matches the Rfam family "Bacterial small subunit ribosomal RNA", at positions 30 to 523 of the family's 1533-position model. The record is from RNAcentral.